This 585-nucleotide ribosomal RNA is filed under the name Pseudomonas sp. RNAcentral describes it as "bacterial SSU rRNA". It matches the Rfam family "Bacterial small subunit ribosomal RNA", at positions 76 to 657 of the family's 1533-position model. The record is from RNAcentral. Lineage: Bacteria; Pseudomonadati; Pseudomonadota; Gammaproteobacteria; Pseudomonadales; Pseudomonadaceae.
GAGCUUGCUCUUCGAUUCAGCGGCGGACGGGUGAGUAAUGCCUAGGAAUCUGCCUGGUAGUGGGGGACAACGUUUCGAAAGGAACGCUAAUACCGCAUACGUCCUACGGGAGAAAGCAGGGGACCUUCGGGCCUUGCGCUAUCAGAUGAGCCUAGGUCGGAUUAGCUAGUUGGUGAGGUAAUGGCUCACCAAGGCGACGAUCCGUAACUGGUCUGAGAGGAUGAUCAGUCACACUGGAACUGAGACACGGUCCAGACUCCUACGGGAGGCAGCAGUGGGGAAUAUUGGACAAUGGGCGAAAGCCUGAUCCAGCCAUGCCGCGUGUGUGAAGAAGGUCUUCGGAUUGUAAAGCACUUUAAGUUGGGAGGAAGGGCAGUAAGAUAAUACCUUGCUGUUUUGACGUUACCGACAGAAUAAGCACCGGCUAACUCUGUGCCAGCAGCCGCGGUAAUACAGAGGGUGCAAGCGUUAAUCGGAAUUACUGGGCGUAAAGCGCGCGUAGGUGGUUUGUUAAGUUGGAUGUGAAAGCCCCGGGCUCAACCUGGGAACUGCAUCCAAAACUGGCAAGCUAGAGUACGGUAGAGG